This is a non-coding RNA of Prunus avium (sweet cherry), 659 nucleotides long. The record is from RefSeq and is a predicted model, not a curated record. NCBI's taxonomy places the organism in Eukaryota, Viridiplantae, Streptophyta, Magnoliopsida, Rosales, Rosaceae.
AGAAAAGUAGUGCAAAAAAUAAGGAAAAUAGAAAGAAAUUGAAGAUCACACAUUGUGCUGGGACAAAGGCCUUUAGUCGUAUUAGAUAUGAAAAUAGAAAUUCUGAAACUGGAGAAGAACCUAGCCGCAUAGACUUGUUUCAGCUCAUCAGAUUUAGCACAAAGAAAACAACAUGGGUUGGCGAAGAUGCCAAGAAUGCUUUUGAGCAGGUCCGAAACCCAAAACAUUUAAAGCUGGACAAUGCAGUCAUGCAACAGUUGAGGAGGCUAAAAGAAGGGCAGAUGAGGCAACUAAAAGGGCUGAUGAUGCAGAGAAACAAUGUAUGCUUCUAGCAAAUGAGUUAACAGAAAUGAAGGAGAAUUCUGCUGCACAAAAGUAUCAGUUAGCAGGUUUACAGGCAAGGCAAAAUGAGACGGAUGAACUAGUAAAAAGAUUGCUGCAGCAGUUAUCCUCGACUUCGUCAUCAAUGAGAUCUGAUGGAUAAAGGGUAGAAGACAAUCUACUAGUGAUGAAUCUUAUGUUAUUUGUUUUUGGGAAUCACUUGACAUUUAUGUUGAACUUAAAUAUCUAGUAUUUUGUUUUUGAGACAUCUUGUGAAUUUGUUGGAAGAAUGUUAGAUAUAUGGAUUGCUUUUGAACGCAAUGAAUUAUUUGAUGCUA